GGCAGGGUAGCUCAGUGGUAGAGCAGGGGACUCAUAAGCCCUUGGUCGUCAGUUCAAAUCUGACUCCUGCCACCA
This 75-nucleotide transfer RNA is filed under the name Chloroflexota bacterium. RNAcentral's name for it is "Chloroflexi bacterium tRNA-Met". It matches the Rfam family "tRNA". From Rfam's summary of the family: Transfer RNA (tRNA) molecules are approximately 80 nucleotides in length. Their secondary structure includes four short double-helical elements and three loops (D, anti-codon, and T loops). Further hydrogen bonds mediate the characteristic L-shaped molecular structure. tRNAs have two regions of fundamental functional importance: the anti-codon, which is responsible for specific mRNA codon recognition, and the 3' end, to which the tRNAs corresponding amino acid is attached (by aminoacyl-tRNA synthetases). tRNAs cope with the degeneracy of the genetic code in two manners: having more than one tRNA (with a specific anti-codon) for a particular amino acid; and 'wobble' base-pairing, i.e. permitting non-standard base-pairing at the 3rd anti-codon position. The record is from RNAcentral. RNAcentral also lists the same sequence under 1 other name. Lineage: Bacteria; Bacillati; Chloroflexota.